GACGGCCGUAUAAUCCGAGAACGACGCGGCCGAGAGGAGUUGAAUCGGAGCAAGGUGUGGUGGAGGAGAGUGUCGCGGAGGGAUCUGAGCGGAAGUAGGUGGGGCAGAGGGAGAAGUCGAGGAAGACUCGAUCGGUUAUUGUGAUGUCGGGGGAAGGUGGUUUAGCUGGUGGUGGUGGAGUUACGGUGGCGAUUGUGGUGGAGAGGAGGAGAUUACGACGGGUGAGAAUCGGAGGGAUGAGGAUUGAUGAUGAUGCCAUGUUGGAUGAUGAUGAUGAUGAUAUCAUUGUCUCUAUCUCUAUAUCUUUUCUUCUUUUACUUGCUAUGUUCUACGAUGUCGUUUUGGACCUUAAUAGGUUACUGGGUCGGGCUUGCAGUUUACUAUUUUUUUGUUGUCCUCUAAAUUUUAUUAAAAACCAAAGUAGGAUACAAGUUAAAAUAUAUAAAUCGGUGGAUCAAUGGAUUGUCUCCAGAAACUCAA
This 480-nucleotide long non-coding RNA is filed under the name Arabidopsis thaliana (thale cress). RNAcentral describes it as "long non-coding RNA (ATHA_LNC000428)". Lineage: Eukaryota; Viridiplantae; Streptophyta; Magnoliopsida; Brassicales; Brassicaceae. The record is from RNAcentral.